This 2900-nucleotide long non-coding RNA is filed under the name Homo sapiens (human). RNAcentral describes it as "long independently transcribed non-coding RNA 2455 (LINC02455)". Lineage: Eukaryota; Metazoa; Chordata; Mammalia; Primates; Hominidae. The record is from RNAcentral.
ACAUCAUACUCUUUCCCAAGCUGUCUCUGCUCACUAGAGUUUGAGUCUGUCGGUGAUUCUCCUAUAUAGAAGGCAUAGCUGAUACAAAUUCAAGACAGGAAAAGGCAAGGUGGAGAAAUCAAGACCCCAACAGAGGGCUGACCAGGUUACUCAGCAAUGCUGUGGCAGAAACACACAAAAGAGUCCGUGGCUUGUGAUUCACAGGCCAAGACGCUGCCUUGGCGCAGCACUCCCCGUGUUGACGUGGAAGGUGGUGAUGGCAGUGAGCAAAAAAGUGAUCCAUGCACAGAUGCAUUUGUGAACGCCGGAUGAAACAAAGUUAAAAUAGGACCCAGCGGAUGAAGUGGACUGAAACACUGAAUCUGAAACAUUGAUGAUCACUACAGCAAAGGGAAGAGCUCGGUAAAUUGUGCAUAUCGUUCUUAGAUCUUCCACCCAAAAGUAACACUUCCACUUACAUGUAUUGGCCACGAGACAGGAUUGUGCCAUGUUGCCCAGGCUGGUCUGGAACUCCUGGACUCAAGUGAUCCACCCACCUCGAACCUCAACUUCCUAAAGUGCUGGGAUUACAGGCGCGAACCACUGUGUCUGGCCUCCGGGUGGUUUUAAGUGGGAACUUUUAUUUCUCACACAUUCUUCUGUAUAUUCUAUAUUUUCUACAAGAAAUAUAUAUUACUUUUCUAAUCAGGAAAAAAAAUGAAUAUAUGCAUGUGCCUUUACAAAACUGUUCUCAUUCUGCAGAUGAGUGAAACCAAGGUAACAGAUGGGAAGGAAAUGACUCACGUAAGAUCACACAGCAAUCGAUGUCACAUUAUGACAAUGUUCAGGAAACUGCAUUUCCAUUUUUGCACCCCACUCUCUUGGGUCUGUGUUACCCACAGCUUUUCUAACAAGAAUCUCGUUGGCAUCUGACUUGAUCUGGGGACCUAGCACUACACUAUGCAGAAGGGGGCCCCCCCUCAGAAGCCCAGUAUCAGUUAGUAUGUGCUUAUCUGCAGGGGCUCACUGCUGUGGGAGUUUCAGAAGUAGAAGCCACAGUCCCUGUUCUCAAAGGCUUACAGAUGGGUACUCACAGUUGCACAUGAAGCAGGGAUGUCAGUGCUGUUGUGCAGACUCUGAAUGCUGUAAGAAUAGCAGGGGAAGGAACUGGUUGUCAGAGGAGAAACCAAGAACCGUUGGCACAAAAUCUUUUUACCAGGGUUGUUCACAAAAGAAAAAAUGCUGGAAGCUCUGCUCCUUUUAAUUUCCCCCAGCUACCCUGUGUAGGCACCUGAAGGUCAACAGUAUGAAGGAGAAGGGGGUAGAAAUGCACAAAAUAGUUCUCGUUUUGCAUAUUCCAUAGUUCAUAGUAUGUAUUGAAGGUCUUCUUUGACAAACCCCACUGAAGUUUCCUGAUUUCACCUUCACCAUGGCUAAAAGCAGCAGCUCGCCCCCACGCUUUGAUUUUUCCCUCCUGUACUUUCUCUUCCCCUUCUGUUUCUCUUGGUGAGGGGUCCAAAUUGGAAACUUUUUUGUCCCACAGCCCACCAUAAGGGUUCAUUCUGUGAACCUAUGUCUAUUGCAUCCCAGCUUACCUAACAGCUCUUUCCCCAAGAACCAAACUUUAAGUUCCUCUCAGCAGCACAGUAAAUCUUCAGAGGCUAAUACAUGUUUUUUUUUUCUUGAGAUGGAGUUUUGCUCUUGUUGCCCAGGCUGGAGUGCAAUGGCACAAUCUCGGCUCACUGCAACCUCUGCCUCCUGGGUUCAAGCGAUUCUCUCACCUCAGCCUCCUGAGUAGCUGGGAUGACAGGCGCCCGCCACCAUGCCCAGCUAAUUUUUGUAUUUUUAGUAGACACGGGGUUUCACCAUGUUGGUCAGGCUGGUCUCAAACUCCUGAUCUCAGGUGAUCCACCCGCCUCGGCCUCCCAAAGUGCUGGGAUUACAGGUGUGAGCCACCGUGCCCAGCCCACAGACUAAUAUCUUUAAGGAACUUCUAGAAAUCAUCUCUGGCCGAGUCAUCCAGGUGCAAACGAGAGGUUCUGGGCUGAGAUCAAAGAGAACAAGGGGAAGAUUCAGCAGUUACACAGCUGGGCUCAUAGUGAGGGGAUUUGCAUGAAUAUUAACAUCAGCUCCAUUUACUGGGUUCUUUUACCCUGUGCCAGGCAGGUAAUUUGCUUGAUAUGCAUGAUCUGAUUUAAUUUAGUUCUCAUAGUGAUCUUUCUAAAGUAGGCACUACGAUCCCAUCUUCACAGGGAGAAAGGAAGCAAAGUAAGUUGCUCAAAAACACAGCUAGUCAACACCCCCAGAAUGUAUCAUGCCAAGAGUGAACUCUAAUGUAAACUGUGGACUUUGGGUGAUAAUGAUGUGUCAAUGUAGGUUCAAUGAUUGCAACAAAUGUACCACUCUGGUGUGGGAUGUUGACAGUGGGGGAGGCCAUGAGUUGGGGUGAUAGAGGAGAACUCUCUGUACUUUCUGAUUGAUUUUGCUGAGAACCUAAAACAGCUCUAAAAAACAAAGUCUAUGUAACCACACACACACACACACACACACACACACACCCCUAGUAAAUAGUAGGACCAGGAGUUAAGACUAGGUCUGUCUCCUUAGGUGAUGGUGAGUUAUUAUCAACAACAUGUUGAACUCCACCGUACAGGUAGCAAUAAUGAUGUGUGUGUGUGUGCGUGCGUGUGUGCACAUGUGCUGUGCAUGUAUUGAGGAUUGAGGGGGUCUGUGUUAAAAAAGAAAGAAUUGGAAGGAAGAAAUCUCAAACUGAGUCCUGGCUCCAUCACCAGCUGUGUGAUCCUGGACAGGACACUUUGGUUUUAGUUUCCUCAUCUGUAAAUUGCUACUGGGUCAUUGUGAAGAUCCAAUAAAAUAAAAUAUGUACAAAGUACUCUGAAAGCAUAAAGUACUCUGAAAGC